ACGAAAAAAUGAAACUUUGAUAGCCUGUAGAGUUUCGGGCGCUGAGUCGAAUGGUCUUGGUCCGAAGUCUCUACGACGAAGCGUUCUUGAGAUAUUUCACUUUGAAAUUGCAAAAACGGGGGCCGCGCCCUGACGUCAUGCGGCCAUUUGGUUACAUCAUCACGGGCUGCCUACGUCAUUGUGGCAAAGUCGUUUCUCUUCGCCAGUCUACAAGCACUAAUUUUAGUUGGUAUUUCAAGGGAAGAUGGGCGAUUCCGAACAAUCCUCUGUCCCCAGCAAUGAAGGCAGCGAUGCUGAGGCCAGUGAGGACGACCAACAGCCCACCGCCGCGUAUGGUUGGGGCAGGGAGCCCAGAUACUCUGCUGAGGAGCUGCCAUCGCGUGUAACAAAUGUGGAGGAAGAAGAUGCGUCAGCAGCUGCGUCCGACAGAAGACGAGUAGCUUGGCCACCAGAAUCUCGAUUCGUUUGGGACUCCGACUGGUGCGAGCGUGGACAAAAGUGUAUAGCCAUGCCCAGCCCGCGGGAAUGAUUUUGCUGGUAGGAUGCUGCCGUCGCUGUCGACAAGACGGCCCAAGGUUUCUUGCGUAGCGGACCUCGCAGAUUACGAGAUCGUAUCCUUGCAUUAGGCUGUGCUCAUCACUGCUCUUCGAGGUUAUCUCGACAUGCAGAAGCCGCCAAUGCCAGUGACAGAAGAGUCUGACAUUAGAUCUCUACGCUAUGCGGCACACAGGCAGUACACACUAUGUACACGGCAAAUUGGGCAAGCACGUUCGUUGUCGUCUUCCAGCCUGCGUUGUGAAUACCAUCAGGCAAAGAUAUCCAAAUCCUGCACCACCUCAGCCUUCUCAGGAGGCUUCCACCUGGAAUUUGGCAGGGAAACACGCUUCUCCAAGGCAGGAACAUGGAGGUUGCCAUUUGCAACCGCUACCACCUCACACAUGAGCUUGUCAACAUACUCAUAGCUCUUUCUGUCGUAUAAUUUUCUAUUUGGCCACAGUCUUCUUUAUGCUUUGAGAACUGGACUUUAUACCUUC
This is a long non-coding RNA of Sycon ciliatum, 1034 nucleotides long. RefSeq lists it as uncharacterized. The record is from RefSeq and is a predicted model, not a curated record. NCBI's taxonomy places the organism in Eukaryota, Metazoa, Porifera, Calcarea, Leucosolenida, Sycettidae. The transcript has 2 exons.